RNAcentral lists this ribosomal RNA (385 nucleotides) under uncultured bacterium. RNAcentral describes it as "bacterial SSU rRNA". It matches the Rfam family "Bacterial small subunit ribosomal RNA", at positions 29 to 417 of the family's 1533-position model. The record is from RNAcentral.
AUUGAACGCUGGCGGAAUGCUUUACACAUGCAAGUCGAGCGGCAGCGCGGGGCAACCUGGCGGCGAGCGGCGAACGGGUGAGUAAUACAUCGGAACGUGCCCAGACGUGGGGGAUAACUACUCGAAAGAGUGGCUAAUACCGCAUACGAUCUACGGAUGAAAGCGGGGGAUCGCAAGACCUCGCGCGUCUGGAGCGGCUGAUGGCAGAUUAGGUAGUUGGUGGGAUAAAAGCCUACCAAGCCAACGAUCUGUAGCUGGUCUGAGAGGAUGAUCAGCCACACUGGGACUGAGACACGGCCCAGACUCCUACGGGAGGCAGCAGUGGGGAAUUUUGGACAAUGGGCGAAAGCCUGAUCCAGCCAUUCCGCGUGCAGGAUGAAGGCCU